GUGUCAGCAGCCGCGGUAAAACGUAGGAGGCGAACGUUAUCCGGAUUUACUGGGCGUAAAGAGCGCGAAGGCGGUCUUGCAAGUCGGGCGUGAAAUCUCCCGGCUCAACUGGGAGGGGUCGUUCGAUACUGCAGGACUUGAGGACGGGAGAGGGGAGUGGAAUUCCCGGUGUAGCGGUGGAAUGCGCAGAGAUCGGGAGGAACACCAGUGGCGAAGGCGGCUCCCUGGCCCGGUCCUGACGCUCAAGCGCGAAAGCGUGGGGAGCGAACGGGAUUAGAUACCCCGGUAGUCCACGCCGUAAACGAUGGGUGCUAGGUGUUGGUGGUGUCGAUCCCAUCAGUGCCGAAGCUAACGCAUUAAGUUCUCCGCCUGGGGAGUACGGCCGCAAGGCUAAAACUCAAAGGAAUUGGCGGGG
RNAcentral lists this ribosomal RNA (415 nucleotides) under uncultured prokaryote. RNAcentral describes it as "bacterial SSU rRNA". It matches the Rfam family "Bacterial small subunit ribosomal RNA", at positions 505 to 918 of the family's 1533-position model. The record is from RNAcentral.